UAAUAAAAGUGGUUAUUACACUUUUACACGCUAUACAUGGUUAUUACACAUUUACACGCCAAUAACAGAUGGUUAUUAACAUUAUACCACGCCUAUAACAGUGGUUAUUACACUUUACACGCCUAAUAACAGUGGUCUUUACACAUUUAACAACGCCUAUACAAGUGUUAUUACACCAACAAUCGCCUAAUACAGUGGUUAUUACAACACACGCCUAAUAACAGUGGUUAUUACACAUUUACACGCCUAAUUACAGUGGUUAUUACACAUUUACACGCUAAUACAGUGGUUAUUACACACGACCCUAAUAACAGUGGUUAUUACACACAGCUCAAUAAACAGUGGUUAUUUACACAUUUACACGCCUAAUUACAGUGGUUAUUACACAUUUACACGACCUAAUUAGUGGUUAUCGGCUGGGCGAUAUGAAGCAAAAAAUAAAAUGAUUUUUUUACUCAGUUU
Molecule: long non-coding RNA, 462 nt
Filed under: Neogobius melanostomus (round goby)
Lineage: Eukaryota; Metazoa; Chordata; Actinopteri; Gobiiformes; Gobiidae
Description: lncRNA (ENSNMLG00000005739.1)
Source: RNAcentral